CCUACGGGAGGCAGCAGUAAGGAAUAUUGGUCAAUGGGCGCAAGCCUGAACCAGCCAUCCAGCGUGCAGGAAGAAGGCCUACGGGUUGUAAACUGCUUUUGUCAGGGAAGCGGUACCUGAAGAAUAAGCACCGGCUAACUCCGUGCCAGCAGCCGCGGUAAUACGGAGGGUGCGAGCGUUAUCCGGAAUUACUGGGUUUAAAGGGUGCGUAGGCGGCUAUGUAAGUCAGGAGUGAAAGUUUGCGGCUCAACCGUAAAAUUGCUUUUGAUACUGCAUGGCUAGAAUCAGGAUGAGGUUAGCGGAAUGUGGCAUGUAGCGGUGAAAUGCAUAGAUAUGCCAUAGAACACCAAUUGCGAAGGCAGCUGGCUAGAUGAUUGACGCUGAGGCACGAAAGCGUGGGGAGCGAACAGGAUUAGAUACCCUUGUAGUC
Molecule: ribosomal RNA, 430 nt
Filed under: uncultured bacterium
Lineage: Bacteria
Description: partial 16S ribosomal RNA
Rfam family: Bacterial small subunit ribosomal RNA
Source: RNAcentral